GUAGGUGGCAAGCGUUGUCCGGAAUUAUUGGGCGUAAAGCGCGCGCAGGUGGGUUCUUUAAGUCUGAUGUGAAAGCCCCCGGGCUCAACCGGGGAGGGUCAUUGGAAACUGGGGAACUUGAGUGCAGGAGAGGAAAGUGGAAUUCCACGUGUAGCGGUGAAAUGCGUAGAUAUGUGUAGGAACACCAGUGGCGAAGGCGACUUUCUGGCCUGUAACUGACACUGAGGCGCGAAAGCGUGGGGAGCAAACAGGAUUAGAUACCCUGGUAGUCCACGCCGUAAACGAUGAGUGCUAAGUGUUGGGGGGUUUCCGCCCCUCAGUGCUGCAGCUAACGCAUUAAGCACUCCGCCUGGGGAGUACGGUCGCAAGACUG
This 373-nucleotide ribosomal RNA is filed under the name uncultured organism. RNAcentral's name for it is "partial 16S ribosomal RNA". It matches the Rfam family "Bacterial small subunit ribosomal RNA", at positions 527 to 896 of the family's 1533-position model. The record is from RNAcentral.